Molecule: ribosomal RNA, 647 nt
Filed under: Archiborborus simplicimanus
Lineage: Eukaryota; Metazoa; Arthropoda; Insecta; Diptera; Sphaeroceridae
Description: eukaryotic LSU rRNA
Rfam family: Eukaryotic large subunit ribosomal RNA
Source: RNAcentral
UAGUUCAGCACUAAGUCACUUUGUCUUUAUGGCAAAUGUGAGAUGCAGUGUAUGGAACAUCUUAAAUCUAGUAUGAGAAAUUAACGAUUUAAGUCCUUCUUAAAUGAGGCCAUUUACCCAUAGAGGGUGCCAGGCCCGUAUAACGUUAAUGAUUACUAGAAGAUGUUUCCAAAGAGUCGUGUUGCUUGAUAGUGCAGCACUAAGUGGGUGGUAAACUCCAUCUAAAACUAAAUAUAACCAUGAGACCGAUAGUAAACAAGUACCGUGAGGGAAAGUUGAAAAGAACUCUGAAUAGAGAGUUAAAUAGUACGUGAAACUGCUUAGAGGUUAAGCCCGAUGAACCUGAAUAUCCAUUAUGGAAAAUUCAUCAUUAUGAUUGUAAUAUUUAAUCAAUAUUAAAAUAAUAGUGUGCAUUUUUUCCAUAUAAGGACAUUGUAAUCUAUUAACAUGCUAUUUAUCAAAAGAUCAUUUGCUUAUGUUUAUUCCAAUUAGUUUGCUUGCAAGUUAACACAGAAUAAAUGCUUAUGAUUUGAUAAAGUGUUGAUAGAUUUUAUUAUAUAUAGUGCUUAAAUUCUUUGAAUUUUAUAAUGCCAUUGCGAUCAUUGAUUUCAGUGUUUAUUAUAUGCGCUUAUAUGAUUAACAAUGCG